Molecule: transfer RNA, 86 nt
Filed under: Nanobdellota archaeon
Lineage: Archaea; Nanobdellati; Nanobdellota
Also listed under: 1 other name
Description: tRNA-Leu
Rfam family: tRNA
About the family: Transfer RNA (tRNA) molecules are approximately 80 nucleotides in length. Their secondary structure includes four short double-helical elements and three loops (D, anti-codon, and T loops).
Source: RNAcentral
GCGGGGGUAGCAAAGUCUGGUCAAAUGCGCAGGACUUAAGAUCCUGUCUCUUAGUGAGUCCGUGGGUUCGAAUCCCAUCCCCCGCA